Molecule: ribosomal RNA, 303 nt
Filed under: uncultured bacterium
Lineage: Bacteria
Description: partial 16S ribosomal RNA
Rfam family: Bacterial small subunit ribosomal RNA
Source: RNAcentral
AGCAGCCGCCGCGGUAAUACGAAGGGGGCUAGCGUUGUUCGGAAUUACUGGGCGUAAAGGGCGCGUAGGCGGCCAUUCAAGUUAGAUGUGAAAGCCCUGGGCUCAACCUAGGAAUUGCAUUUGAUACUGUUUGGCUUGAGUUGGGAGAGGUGAGUGGAACUCCCAGUGUAGAGGUGAAAUUCGUAGAUAUUGGGAAGAACACCAGUGGCGAAGGCGGCUCACUGGACCGACACUGACGCUGAGGCGCGAAAGCGUGGGGAGCAAACAGGAUUAGAUACCCCAGUAGUCCCUGUCUCUUAUACA